Long non-coding RNA from Bombina bombina (fire-bellied toad), 685 nucleotides. RefSeq lists it as uncharacterized. The record is from RefSeq and is a predicted model, not a curated record. The transcript has 2 exons. NCBI's taxonomy places the organism in Eukaryota, Metazoa, Chordata, Amphibia, Anura, Bombinatoridae.
CAUCCACAAAGUUAGAAACUGUCUUGUAACUUAAGAACAUGGGCUGUUGGGUGAGACAGCUGAGCAAAAAUCAGACAUACAUCACCACACCACAAAGUCUUCUACCUUUCUACAAGCAUAUCGCAUCAGAUUAGAAGGCAGCUCUUGGUGCCCAGCCUCUCCGGCUAGGUUUCUGAUAACGACCCCAAACACACCUUCAAGAUGACCACUGCCUUGCUAAAGAAGCUGAGGGUAAAGGUGAUGGACUGGCCAAGCAAGUUUUCAUACCUAAACCUUAUUGAGCAUCUGUGGGGCAUCCUCAAACGGAAGGUGGGGGAGCACAAGGUCUCUAACAUCCACCAGCUCAGUGAUGUCGUCAUGGAGGAGUGGAAGAGGACUCCAGUGGCAACCUGUGAAGCUCUGGUGAACUCCAUGCCCAAGAGGGUUAAGGCAGUGCUGGAAAAUAAUGGUGGCCAAACAAAAUAUUGACAUUUUGGGCCCAAUUUGGACAUUCCACUUAGGGGUGUACUCACUUUUGUUGCCAACGGUUUAGACAUUAAUAGCUGUGUGUUGAGUUAUUUUGAGGGGACAGCAAAUUUACACUGUUAUAUAGGCUGUACACUCACUAGUACUACUUUACAUUGUAGCAAAGUGUAAUUUCUUCAGUGUUGUCACAUGAAACGAUAUAAUAAAAUAUUUACAAAAA